Molecule: ribosomal RNA, 462 nt
Filed under: uncultured Pseudomonadaceae bacterium
Lineage: Bacteria; Pseudomonadati; Pseudomonadota; Gammaproteobacteria; Pseudomonadales; Pseudomonadaceae
Description: bacterial SSU rRNA
Rfam family: Bacterial small subunit ribosomal RNA
Source: RNAcentral
CUCGCACAAGCGGUGGAGCAUGUGGUUAAUUCGAAGCAACGCGAAGAACCUUACCAGGUCUUGACACUCCCUGACAACCGAGAGAUCGGGCGUUCCCCUCGGGGGACAGGGUGACAGGUGGUGCAUGGUUGUCGUCAGCUCGUGUCGUGAGAUGUUGGGUUAAGUCCCGUAACGAGCGCAACCCUUGUCCUUAGUUACCAGCACGUUAAGGUGGGCACUCUAAGGAGACUGCCGGUGACAAACCGGAGGAAGGUGGGGAUGACGUCAAGUCAUCAUGGCCCUUACGGCCUGGGCUACACACGUGCUACAAUGGUCGGUACAAAGGGUUGCCAAGCCGCGAGGUGGAGCUAAUCCCAUAAAACCGAUCGUAGUCCGGAUUGUUCUCUGCAACUCGAGAGCAUGAAGUCGGAAUCGCUAGUAAUCGCAGGUCAGCAUACUGCGGUGAAUACGUUCCCGGGUCUU